CUAAGUUUGAUGGCGACCGGCGCACGGGUGAGUAACACGUAUCCAACCUGCCGAUGACUCGGGGACAGCCUUUCGAAAGAAAGAUUAAUACCCGAUGGCAUAGUUCUUCCGCAUGGUAGAACUAUUAAAGAAUUUCGGUCAUCGAUGGGGAUGCGUUCCAUUAGGUUGUUGGCGGGGUAACGGCCCACCAAGCCUUCGAUGGAUAGGGGUUCUGAGAGGAAGGUCCCCCACAUUGGAACUGAGACACGGUCCAAACUCCUACGGGAGGCCAGCAUG
RNAcentral lists this ribosomal RNA (276 nucleotides) under uncultured bacterium. Its description in RNAcentral is "partial 16S ribosomal RNA". It matches the Rfam family "Bacterial small subunit ribosomal RNA", at positions 79 to 349 of the family's 1533-position model. The record is from RNAcentral.